UACAGAGGUCUCAAGCGUUGUUCGGAUUCAUUGGGCGUAAAGGGUGCGUAGGCGGCGCGGUAAGUCGGGUGUGAAAUCUCGGAGCUUAACUCCGAAACUGCAUUCGAUACUGCCGUGCUUGAGGACUGGAGAGGAGACUGGAAUUUACGGUGUAGCAGUGAAAUGCGUAGAGAUCGUGAGGAAGACCAGUGGCGAAGGCGGGUCUCUGGACAGUUCCUGACACUGAGGCACGAAGGCCAGGGGAGCAAACGGG
RNAcentral lists this ribosomal RNA (253 nucleotides) under uncultured bacterium. Its description in RNAcentral is "partial 16S ribosomal RNA". It matches the Rfam family "Bacterial small subunit ribosomal RNA", at positions 524 to 776 of the family's 1533-position model. The record is from RNAcentral.